GGCCCCAUCGUCUAACGGUUAGGACGCCCGCCUUUCACGCAGGAAAUCGGGGUUCGAUUCCCCGUGGGGUCACGA
RNAcentral lists this transfer RNA (75 nucleotides) under Candidatus Kaiserbacteria bacterium RIFCSPHIGHO2_01_FULL_46_22. Its description in RNAcentral is "tRNA-Glu". It matches the Rfam family "tRNA". From Rfam's summary of the family: Transfer RNA (tRNA) molecules are approximately 80 nucleotides in length. The record is from RNAcentral. RNAcentral also lists the same sequence under 1 other name. Lineage: Bacteria; Candidatus Kaiseribacteriota.